UACAGAGGUCUCAAGCGUUGUUCGGAUUCAUUGGGCGUAAAGGGUGCGUAGGCGGCGCGGUAAGUCGGGUGUGAAAUCUUGGAGCUUAACUCCGAAACUGCAUUCGAUACUGCCGUGCUUGAGGACUGGAGAGGAGACUGGAAUUUACGGUGUAGCGGUGAAAUGCGCAGAUAUCGGGAGGAACACCCGUAGCGAAGGCGGCACUCUGGGCCGGAACUGACGCUGAGGAGCGAAAGCGUGGGGAGCAAACAGG
This 253-nucleotide ribosomal RNA is filed under the name uncultured bacterium. RNAcentral's name for it is "partial 16S ribosomal RNA". It matches the Rfam family "Bacterial small subunit ribosomal RNA", at positions 524 to 776 of the family's 1533-position model. The record is from RNAcentral.